Molecule: unclassified non-coding RNA, 200 nt
Filed under: Capnodiales sp.
Lineage: Eukaryota; Fungi; Ascomycota; Dothideomycetes; Capnodiales
Description: partial internal transcribed spacer 2
Source: RNAcentral
UUAAGUUCAGCGGGUAUCCCUACCUGAUCCGAGGUCAACCUUUGAUGGGAGGUUUAACGGCUCAGACGCUCCUUCUCGCCAGCGAGUUUGUUGCCACAACGCUGAGAUCCAGAUCGUCCAGCCGGCGACAUUAAGGCGCGGGUGACCCCCGACGCCCAAGACCAAGCUAAUAAAUCGGCUUGAGUUUGUUUAAUGACGCU